This 486-nucleotide ribosomal RNA is filed under the name uncultured bacterium. RNAcentral describes it as "partial 16S ribosomal RNA". It matches the Rfam family "Bacterial small subunit ribosomal RNA", at positions 30 to 507 of the family's 1533-position model. The record is from RNAcentral.
AUUGAACGCUGGCGGCAUGCCUUACACAUGCAAGUCGAACGGCAGCACGGGUGCUUGCACCUGGUGGCGAGUGGCGAACGGGUGAGUAAUACAUCGGAACAUGUCCUGUAGUGGGGGAUAGCCCGGCGAAAGCCGGAUUAAUACCGCAUACGAUCUACGGAUGAAAGCGGGGGACCUUCGGGCCUCGCGCUAUAGGGUUGGCCGAUGGCUGAUUAGCUAGUUGGUGGGGUAAAGGCCUACCAAGGCGACGAUCAGUAGCUGGUCUGAGAGGACGACCAGCCACACUGGGACUGAGACGCGGCCCAGACUCCUACGGGAGGCAGCAGUGGGGAAUGUUGGACAAUGGGCGAAAGCCUGAUCCAGCAAUGCCGCGUGUGUGAAGAAGGCCUUCGGGUUGUAAAGCACUUUUGUCCGGAAAGAAAUCCUUGGCCCUAAUACGGUCGGGGGAUGACGGUACCGGAAGAAUAAGCACCGGCUAACUACGUG